RNAcentral lists this long non-coding RNA (283 nucleotides) under Carica papaya (papaya). RNAcentral's name for it is "long non-coding RNA (CPAP_LNC013405)". The record is from RNAcentral. Lineage: Eukaryota; Viridiplantae; Streptophyta; Magnoliopsida; Brassicales; Caricaceae.
UCCACCACAAAGCUCUGCUCUUGCGAUUAGGGUCCGCCAAGUCCAGUUCGACUUCCACGAAACAAAAAUCGCAAAAAACCAAAAAAAAAAAAAGUUAUAUAACUAAAAUAAAUUAGUUCAAAAUAUAUCAGAACAGAAGAGAGACACGGUCAGUGUCCUUUCGUUGAGGGUUAACAGACCAGCUUCCUUUUUUCUUUUGUGCUUAUGGGGUAGGCCGUGAAGAAGAAGAAGAAGUUGGGAGGGGCUUCAGGACAUGGGGAUCCAGUCACAGGCCCAAAUCUUC